Molecule: ribosomal RNA, 2619 nt
Filed under: Escherichia coli
Lineage: Bacteria; Pseudomonadati; Pseudomonadota; Gammaproteobacteria; Enterobacterales; Enterobacteriaceae
Description: partial 23S ribosomal RNA
Rfam family: Bacterial large subunit ribosomal RNA
Source: RNAcentral
UGUGUUAGUGGAAGCGUCUGGAAAGGCGCGCGAUACAGGGUGACAGCCCCGUACACAAAAAUGCACAUGCUGUGAGCUCGAUGAGUAGGGCGGGACACGUGGUAUCCUGUCUGAAUAUGGGGGGACCAUCCUCCAAGGCUAAAUACUCCUGACUGACCGAUAGUGAACCAGUACCGUGAGGGAAAGGCGAAAAGAACCCCGGCGAGGGGAGUGAAAAAGAACCUGAAACCGUGUACGUACAAGCAGUGGGAGCACAGAGCAAUCUGUGUGACUGCGUACCUUUUGUAUAAUGGGUCAGCGACUUAUAUUCUGUAGCAAGGUUAACCGAAUAGGGGAGCCGAAGGGAAACCGAGUCUUAACUGGGCGUUAAGUUGCAGGGUAUAGACCCGAAACCCGGUGAUCUAGCCAUGGGCAGGUUGAAGGUUGGGUAACACUAACUGGAGGACCGAACCGACUAAUGUUGAAAAAUUAGCGGAUGACUUGUGGCUGGGGGUGAAAGGCCAAUCAAACCGGGAGAUAGCUGGUUCUCCCCGAAAGCUAUUUAGGUAGCGCCUCGUGAAUUCAUCUCCGGGGGUAGAGCACUGUUUCGGCAAGGGGGUCAUCCCGACUUACCAACCCGAUGCAAACUGCGAAUACCGGAGAAUGUUAUCACGGGAGACACACGGCGGGUGCUAACGUCCGUCGUGAAGAGGGAAACAACCCAGACCGCCAGCUAAGGUCCCAAAGUCAUGGUUAAGUGGGAAACGAUGUGGGAAGGCCCAGACAGCCAGGAUGUUGGCUUAGAAGCAGCCAUCAUUUAAAGAAAGCGUAAUAGCUCACUGGUCGAGUCGGCCUGCGCGGAAGAUGUAACGGGGCUAAACCAUGCACCGAAGCUGCGGCAGCGACGCUGAUGCGUUGUUGGGUAGGGGAGCGUUCUGUAAGCCUGUGAAGGUGUGCUGUGAGGCAUGCUGGAGGUAUCAGAAGUGCGAAUGCUGACAUAAGUAACGAUAAAGCGGGUGAAAAGCCCGCUCGCCGGAAGACCAAGGGUUCCUGUCCAACGUUAAUCGGGGCAGGGUGAGUCGACCCCUAAGGCGAGGCCGAAAGGCGUAGUCGAUGGGAAACAGGUUAAUAUUCCUGUACUUGGUGUUACUGCGAAGGGGGGACGGAGAAGGCUAUGUUGGCCGGGCGACGGUUGUCCCGGUUUAAGCGUGUAGGCUGGUUUUCCAGGCAAAUCCGGAAAACUAAGGCUGAGGCGUGAUGACGAGGCACUACGGUGCUGAAGCAACAAAUGCCCUGCUUCCAGGAAAAGCCUCUAAGCAUCAGGUAACAUCAAAUCGUACCCCAAACCGACACAGGUGGUCAGGUAGAGAAUACCAAGGCGCUUGAGAGAACUCGGGUGAAGGAACUAGGCAAAAUGGUGCCGUAACUUCGGGAGAAGGCACGCUGAUAUGUAGGUGAAGUCCCUCGCGGAUGGAGCUGAAAUCAGUCGAAGAUACCAGCUGGCUGCAACUGUUUAUUAAAAACACAGCACUGUGCAAACACGAAAGUGGACGUAUACGGUGUGACGCCUGCCCGGUGCCGGAAGGUUAAUUGAUGGGGUCAGCGCAAGCGAAGCUCUUGAUCGAAGCCCCGGUAAACGGCGGCCGUAACUAUAACGGUCCUAAGGUAGCGAAAUUCCUUGUCGGGUAAGUUCCGACCUGCACGAAUGGCGUAAUGAUGGCCAGGCUGUCUCCACCCGAGACUCAGUGAAAUUGAACUCGCUGUGAAGAUGCAGUGUACCCGCGGCAAGACGGAAAGACCCCGUGAACCUUUACUAUAGCUUGACACUGAACAUUGAGCCUUGAUGUGUAGGAUAGGUGGGAGGCUUUGAAGUGUGGACGCCAGUCUGCAUGGAGCCGACCUUGAAAUACCACCCUUUAAUGUUUGAUGUUCUAACGUUGACCCGUAAUCCGGGUUGCGGACAGUGUCUGGUGGGUAGUUUGACUGGGGCGGUCUCCUCCUAAAGAGUAACGGAGGAGCACGAAGGUUGGCUAAUCCUGGUCGGACAUCAGGAGGUUAGUGCAAUGGCAUAAGCCAGCUUGACUGCGAGCGUGACGGCGCGAGCAGGUGCGAAAGCAGGUCAUAGUGAUCCGGUGGUUCUGAAUGGAAGGGCCAUCGCUCAACGGAUAAAAGGUACUCCGGGGAUAACAGGCUGAUACCGCCCAAGAGUUCAUAUCGACGGCGGUGUUUGGCACCUCGAUGUCGGCUCAUCACAUCCUGGGGCUGAAGUAGGUCCCAAGGGUAUGGCUGUUCGCCAUUUAAAGUGGUACGCGAGCUGGGUUUAGAACGUCGUGAGACAGUUCGGUCCCUAUCUGCCGUGGGCGCUGGAGAACUGAGGGGGGCUGCUCCUAGUACGAGAGGACCGGAGUGGACGCAUCACUGGUGUUCGGGUUGUCAUGCCAAUGGCACUGCCCGGUAGCUAAAUGCGGAAGAGAUAAGUGCUGAAAGCAUCUAAGCACGAAACUUGCCCCGAGAUGAGUUCUCCCUGACUCCUUGAGAGUCCUGAAGGAACGUUGAAGACGACGACGUUGAUAGGCCGGGUGUGUAAGCGCAGCGAUGCGUUGAGCUAACCGGUACUAAUGAACCGUGAGGCUUAACCUU